CGAAGCUCGUUUAGUCGGUGAAGUGUGUAAAGUGUGGCUGAGAUUCAGCGACUCUCGGGAGCCUUUGUGCCGAUUCAAACUCCUCGUGUGAAUUUCUAACAAUUACGAAGAAGAAUAUAAAAGUUAAAUACGCGUCUGAUGGUGGAGUGACGAGCUCAUUCAAGAGGCAAAGAACAAUGAAAACAGCAACGCAAAGGUGAACGACUGAAAGAGCUGCUCUGGUAAAUGACUUCAACUCAUACUGCAAUUACACGACCGAUGCUCGUAAAGAGAGAGACAAAAGCACCGAGCUAAUCAGAGAUGUACUUCAACUCAACCACCUUCCAUCAUUACCUCCAAGAUCCAAACCCAGAACAUUACCAGAAUACCCACACCUCAAAGACAGGAACCAGAC
Molecule: long non-coding RNA, 394 nt
Organism: Puntigrus tetrazona (Sumatra barb)
Lineage: Eukaryota; Metazoa; Chordata; Actinopteri; Cypriniformes; Cyprinidae
Exons: 3
Source: RefSeq, a predicted model, not a curated record